GGCAGCACAAGCGGUAGUCAUUUGGGAAGAAGCAAGUCUGGAAGAAAAGUAUCCUGAAGAAUAGCACCAAGAGGGUAGGAACACUUUUUUUGUGAACAUGCUGUCUCCAUUUUACAUUUUUAAACAAAUAAAUGUAUUUCCUUUAGAUUUUUGUUGCCUGGGGUAGAAUUAGGGGAACUGAUUGCAAAUGGGUAGUGUUUGUGGUGUUUGUCAUUUCUCCCAUGAUGAGGGAGAGGAAAGAGGAAAGCUAGGGUGGGGAGUCAGAAGGAGGCUGCAUAGCUGGACUGUCCCAACAGAGCUCUGGGGGAGAAUUACUCUAACAAUCUGUCUAUUUCUGGAAGCUCACAAGCCCUUUCUAAGAUUUUACAUCCAUCCUGAAAUAAGCAGGUAGAGCACUACUUAUGUUGUGAUAAUAUCACAGCAAGCUUUAAUGGAAUGAUUCUAGGAGAUUUCUCCUUCACAUGGUCACAGGUGGACUGGUUGUAAUGGGAAUGGCAGGACUCUGCACUCACUUUUCAAAGCAAUUUAGAGUAGUUCAGGGUGAUGAGUGCCAAAUCACACGUCAUAGAUCUUGAACAAUCUUGGGUAAUAGAUUGAUUUUUGAAUAAUAAAAUUAAUAAUGGUGAAACUGGCAAUUUCUAAUAACAGUUUGGUUUAGUUCCCAGUAUCUAGCCUUAUAUUUGCUUUGGUUUCAUUCCAUUUUUCCCAGUCCAUAUUGCCAAAUUAAGUGAAAUUGUGUAAAUAUUUUUGUUUUUUAAAUUAAAAUUCACAAAGUUAACUGGUACAAGAGCUCAUGGUAAAAUUUUUCUCUUCUAGGAUUCAAAUAAAUAUCUGCACUGGUCAGAAAUGGUUCAUGUAAACCCUAAACAAGAUCAUCCUUAAAGAUUAAUUAAGGGAAUGAUGUUAACAGCCAUUAAUGUAAUUUUAUUUGUAUAAAAGAGAGACACCUGAUCAUCUUAUAUGACAAAUGGAAACUUUCUAACCCCUUUUCUAAGAAAGUUUAUAUAUCUAAGGUUUGCAAACAUUAAUGAUUUUCUUAAACUGUAAUAUCUGUCUACACAAGUGUUUAUUCUUCUUCCUCUUACCUUGUAUGAUUUGGUAACAUUGUGUGUGAAUAUCUGUCGAGGAUACAGUGUUCUCAUGCUACAGAUUUAAACAAGUCCCAUUCCUGAAGGAAUAUCCUCAUCCUCUUAGGCACACACAUAGCAUAGUAAAAAGGUCACCAAAUAACAACAAAGGAGGGUUGAAGUCUAUCUUGGUUCUGUCUUUUACUCAUUUUCUGAGUUUCCAUUUUCUCAUUAGCAAAAUAAAGUAAUUGGAUUGGGUAUUCUGUGAAACCUCCUCUGGUUUUAAAAUGCACUGGUUCAUAGGCUUCAGGAGACCUGGAAUAAAAGAAGCUCAUACUCAGUGGCAGAUGUGUCCUUAUAAGAUUCUGAGAAAAAAGAGACUGAAGUGCUGGAGCAAUUGAGAAACCUUCUGUGGGGCUGCCAUGUGUACAGGACCUAGAAUACAUAACCUGAGAAGGAAGAGAUGAGGGGCAGGAGUUCACAGGGCAUGUGGAGGAGACCAUGGAAGGCUUAAAAAUGGCUAGAUCUAAAUAGAGCCCCUGGCACACAUCUGAGUGCUAAAGAAAUUCUGUUCCUUAUUUCCUUGAAGAGGAUAAUAAUGGUCAUUGCAGAAAGUUUUAGUAGCUGAGACUGAUGAUGUAAUGAGCAGUUUCCUGAGGGGAAAGCCAUGAAGGUGAACUGGAUUUUAAACAUAGAACACUGGUCAAAGGCUCUUUGACUGUUCCAUAUAGGGGAGUUCCCAGUUUGUACUGCCUAGUGCAACUAAUUAUCGAAUAAGAUAUGAUACUUCUGAGUCCCAAUUAAGGCUUUCUUCAAAUUCAAGUGCCAAGGCAUAAGGUCAACCUGUAGAAACAUUCCAAACAUUCCAGCCAAACCUUUGUCCCUGAGCAAAAAUGGAAUUGGGUUUCCAGGCCUGAAUGGAAGCUACAAGAAAGUUCAAACUCAAGGAUUGAUAGAACUGUACUUUUCUAGGACCUGUUUAGCACAGAUUUUUGACGAAUAGUACUGGGUACUUUUUCAAGACCUUAUUAGCGUAAGUAUUGAUCAUUGCUCCUACUCAGUUACUAUAUAAAUCCCUAGACUAUACACUUAAGCAGCAACCUAGUAUUUGGUCCCCUCUCACUCUGGGAGCAUUCUUUCUCUUAACAUUUAAAUAAAUCCUAUUAUUUUUACUCUUACCAUUCUUAUUGUCCAUGGAUUUCAUUUUUUUUUAAUUCACAAGAAAACACCUUGGAAAGAAAUUGGUAGUGAGCUACUAGAGUCUGCUGCAGCACUGGAGGGUAUGGCCUUGCAUUGAGAGCUGCCAUAUGUCACUUGAUAGUAGUGGAAAAGUUGUCACUUUGCCUGCAACCCAAAUGGACUUUCUCGGUUAUAGAGGUCUGCAGCUCAUAUAGACCUCACUUCAGCAAAAGAGGAGAAUCCAAUUUCAUCUCAAACUCCAGUUUUGCUGUAACCAUAUUCCACAAUUUUAAAUUGUUAACUUCUUUUGUUUUUCCCCAGGUCAAUUAGUUUAUUUUAGACAUUUUACAAACAUCCCCAAGUGAUUCAAAUUUGUUGUCAAAAUUAAGUCAUUGCUCUGAUUGUGGCAUCAACAUUUAUCUCCUAAUGAAAACCCAAAUGAUGAUCAGAAAGAUGCCUGGUUUAUCUCAACAAUCAAAAAAAAAUUGAGAAACUCUGAGAGUUUUAGUAUUUCCAAAAUCAUAUAAGUUGCUUAUUAUAUACUUAAUCUUCAGUGAAUCCAAGAUUAAUAGGACACAUAUUAAUAAUAAUGUAAGUGGAAAGAUAGGACAAGUACUAUUUUUAAAAUAUUGAUUUUUUUUAAUGAGGUGAUAUUGGCUGGUGGAAAAAUAAAUUGUUAACUUCUUAAAAACAUUCACAAAAUAAAACUUUCUGAAAUAAACCUGUGCAACAAUAAGGAUAUUGAGGCCAUUUGUCCUUAGCUGGGGAGGGACACACUAAAGAUACCUUGACACUAUCCACCAAGAGAGUAGCAGCUUUCUAUUUUCAAGAGCAUCUGCACAACUUCUGAUUGUCCUUUGGCCUCUUUCUCUUACCCAGGUCCCUCUGUUCCUGCAUGGUCCCUCUUGCCUCCAGUCCAACUCUAGCACCAUGGCCAGCUAUUUCUAGAUGCUUGUCCCAGCUUUCUAGUGCCAAUUACUUUUUUGUUCAUCUGCUGUUUUUUGCUCCCAAGUUUACUCUUAAGCUCCUAGAAGUUUAGUAGAACAUUGAAACUGUGCUUUGUCCCCCACAAAUACAUACAUAUAUAUAUAUAUAUAUAUAUAUAUAUAUAUAUAUCUUGAUUAUCUUGAUUAGACAUUACUGAGAAUACUUUGUUGAAAAAAAUUAUUCUGUAAGCAUUAUCUUAAAAUUAUACUACCAUAAAUUUUCUUUUCUUUAAAUUCUUAAUGCUUUACCUUUUGCUCUCUAAAGAUACCUUAUAUACCAUAUCCUAUACUGAGGAUAUUGAGGAUUUUGAUUUUAUCUCAUGCAAAUUCCUUCAACUUUUCCCACCAUUAUGUCUCAUAUUUGUUCUGUACACCCAUGUCCUCACUCAGCUGGCAUGUAAGAAGUGUUUGUCAUGAUCCAGAUCCCUAUAUAUGUUAUCUCUUAAUCUUUUCAAUAAUCAUAUAAGGUAAAUAUUUUACAGAUGUUUAAGGUGCAUUCCCAGAUCACUAAACCAGUAAAGAAAGAAACAUGUUUUGAAUUUAUGUAGUCUCAGUCCAGAGCAUGCUUUUGUUCUUGUAGCCCUGGGUACAUAUUAUUUUGUGUGUGUGUGUAUGUGUGUGUAUUUAUACAUACACACACAUAUAUGUGUAUGUAUGUGUGUAUAUAUAUACACACACACAUAUAUGCACCCACACACUGUAUGUGUGUGUGUGUGUGUGUGUGUGUGUAUAUAUAUAUAUAUAUAUAUAUAUAUAUAUAUAUAUAUAUACAGAACUGUGUGUGUGUAUAUACAGAAAUGUUGUGUAUUUGUGUGUGCGUAUACAGUUCUGCUCAUGUAACCCAUACUUGGCUUUUCUCAACUCUACUCACACUUCAAUGACCAGCUAAAGACUUAUCUGUGACCAGAUGGUCUAGGGUAGCCUUACUAACAUGUCUGCAAUUGGCCUGAUAUCCGCCAGGAUGACAGAGGUAGUUAGGCCAUGGGUCACUCAUCACUCAGAUGUCUUGUUUUGGUCUGUUCAUGUUGUGGUGAUUGCAGGAUUCCCAAAAGCCACAAAAAAGAGCAAGACUCUAUAAAACUCUGUUUGCAUCAGACUUGUUAACCUCCCUCUAGUCAAGCAAAGUUACAUUCAAGUCUAGUAUUGCCCAAUGGUACAAAAGAAAGGAGGCCAUACUAAAAACCCACAGGACUUUAGAUGUUGUUUAUGGACAACUCCUUCUAUUUGGUUUCUCCUAUUCCACUGUCGGCUUCCCAUUAAUCUACCAAUUUGGUGAAGUUGCCCUGUUCUAGAAAUCUUCCCUCAAUCCUGUUAUCCCCUGAGGUACUAUGUAGUUGCGUCUAUCAAUGUCAGGGAUUAACUGAAAAGCUUUCAUGGAAAUAGCAAUAAUAUUUGGGGUGCUUGGCCCUGUACCCAGAACCUCCUACAUGCUAAGAAUGCACUCUACCACUGAGCUACACACUAAGCUCCAACCAUAAUAAUUUAAAAAUAACUGAAAUGGUUAAGGUGUACAGUAACCACAGCAAUUGUAUAGAAAUUAGACAAAAUAUGGAAGAUAGUUUGUGGUAGUUUAUAAAUGCUGCUAUAUAGCAAAAUUAAGGGAACAGACUUUUGCCUAUUAUGUUUUUGUAUUAUAUUUUGAAUUCUCUGCACUCAAGACUCCCAGUGACCUAUGCCUGAAGGGGGCAUUCUUACUACCAUUCCCUGGUCACCAGUCCUACAAAGUCUAUGUCUCUUUCUGAGCCUUAGGAGGGAUACAGGAAAUUUUGAACUUAAAGUUAUAUUUUUAAUCUAUAUCUCAUUUUUAAAAGAUAAAAAACCACACAUUUUAAAACAUCUUUUUUCAUUAUCUGGCUCACCAAAUUUCUGUUUAGUAUUGGGACAUAAUGAUCAACAUAUGGACUCUGAAGCCAGUUUUCAGGUUUAAAUUUCAGCUAGGCAAGUUACUUGGCCUCUUAGUGUUUCUAUUUCCUCCUUUGGGAAGUGGUGAUAGUAAUAGUACAUACCUCAUAGGGUUUGGGGGAGAACAUUAAAUGAAUCAGUACAGGUGGUAUUUAGAAAUUUGUGUGACACAAAGUAAACACUCAAAAUCCAGCCAUGCUCAAUAACUCUGGGUUUUUAAGAUCAUGUUCUCCAAGCUCUAUACUCCUUACUCUGUAGGCUACAAAGGCAUCUUCGGUCUUUCUUCUUUUUUAUUCUAAUUGUCACUUGCUAGUUCAUUCAUUAGUGCUUGAUUGCAAAAUUAUAAUAGUCUCCUAGUUCUCCUAUGCUUAAUUCAUUCCUACUUUCAGUAAAUGUUUACUUACAAGUCAACUAGGCACCAGGCACUAUUCCAGACGGAAACCAAUGAACCUUUGGGAACUUAUAAUCAAGCAAGGGAAGAUGGAUUCAUGAGCAAGGAAACGUAAUACACUUUGAAGAUGCUGUGAGAGGAAAGUCCCUGCAGAGUACAAAGCAAAGGAGAAGAAGUCAAAAAUUCCUCCUGAUGGAAGAAGCAAUGGAAAAUAGGGCAAAUUAGCAUGGGGUCUGGACUCAGAACAACCUGGAUUACAAUUCAAAUACUGUCACUUCUGAGUUCCAGAACCUUCGAACACUAGUUUGUUUGUAAUAUAAAAUACUUCAAUAAUAAAGAAACAUAUUUAGAAUAAAAUAAUAACCAUGUGCUUAUAGUUGAGCUUUGAUAAUGUUUAAUUUCUCAUAGAUGUUUCAAAUUUUUUAAAAUAAAUAAUACAUUAAUAAUAGAGUUUAAACAAAUUGUAUACUACUUCUUUGCUUAAUUCUGUUCCUCCUCCUCUUUCUUUCCAGGAGCAGACAGAUUUUUAAUUUUACAUUUAUCACUUCUAUAGUGUUUCUCUAUUUAUGCUCCAUAGAGAACUACAAAUAAUAUAAAACAAUAUUCCUAUUGUUUUAUGUUCUAAAACUUUUUAUAAAUGGUAUCAUAUUUGUGUGUCUUUUCAUAUCUUGUUUUGAUCAUUCAAUAUAGAUUGUUGAAGUUUAUUCAUGGUGAUACAUUUAUUUAUUUUUAUUUCCAUACAGUAAAAUAUACCAUAGAACAAUUAUUCCAAAAUUUGUCAGUCUGUUUUCUUGUUAAUGGACUCCAGAGUUGCUUGCUAUAGUUCUCUAUAGUUAACAAUGUUGCAAUGAUACCCUUGCAUGUGUUUCCCUGUACAUACAGGAAACUUUCCCUGGGAUCCACCUUGCAGCAUCUAUUUCUUGAGCUUUACCAGAUACAGCAGAGUUGCUCUGUAUUUCCCCAUCACUUUUUGAGAGUUUAAAUUUCUUCACAUCUUUUCUCACACACAGUAUUUUGAUCACUUUUUAUAUGAUAGGUAUAAAAGAGAAUAUUAUUUUAAUUUGCCUCUCCAUGCUGUAAAAGCCUUUUCUGCUCCAUUGUAUAGAAUACUGAGUGGAAUCUUUUUUUCUUUUUUAAAUUCCUUUUGCUAGGCACACCAGUCUAAUUUCUCUUAGUACUAAUAUAAUACUUUUAGUUUAUAAUUUUAUUAUUAUUAGUAUUCAGUAUAUGAUACUUUCAGUUUAUAUAAUACUUUUAAUUUAUAAUUAGUUUUAUAAUACUAAUAUAAUACUUUUAGUUCAUGGUAUUUGGGCUGCCAAAUUAGUCACCUUUUUUUCUCUGAGAAAAUAUAUUUCACAGCAGGAAUUUACAUUGUAGGGUAACAGAGAAAGAUACCUUAUUUGAAAAGUAGAAGUAAUAUUGCCACCAUUGAGGUUCAAGUAGAAGUAAUAGUACCACCAUUAAGGUUCAAGAAAAAUUCCUUGAUUUUUCCCUUCUGUUUUCCCACUAGUAGCCAUGAGCAGACACAAUACCGCAUGUAAAGUUAUAUGUGGAAUGUUGAUUCUUGGUUUGAGAAAAUAAAAUCAUGAAAAAUCUAACAAGGAUGUAUUCUUUUCACUUUCCUGCCCUUGUAUAGUGGUUAGAGUUUUCAGACACAAACAGGUGCACAUUGGACUUGAAUUACUUUGAUAAAGCUCAACUAAGAAUCUAGGUUCUAGGUUCUGGGGUCCUUUACAAAAAAAAAAUAGUUCUUUUUCUUUAUGUUUUAAAUUCAGGAUUUUAUUGGGGGAGAUGAAAUUUGCUUCAUUUCUUUCAAAAAUCUCCUUUGCCCUUAUU
Molecule: long non-coding RNA, 7361 nt
Filed under: Marmota monax (woodchuck)
Lineage: Eukaryota; Metazoa; Chordata; Mammalia; Rodentia; Sciuridae
Source: RNAcentral